Molecule: non-coding RNA, 107 nt
Organism: Erinaceus europaeus (western European hedgehog)
Lineage: Eukaryota; Metazoa; Chordata; Mammalia; Eulipotyphla; Erinaceidae
Source: Rfam
GUGCUUGCUUAAGCAGCACAUAUACUAAAACUGGAACGAUACAGAGAAGAUUAGCAUCACCCCUGAGCAAAGAUGAUACACAAAUUUGUGAAGCAGUCCAUAUGUUU